CAGUCAUCUUCAAAUUCUUCACAACUCAACAACGAUUGGGCCGGGCCGGAGUAGACGCUGACUUAACAAAGCGAACAAGUGAACAACGGCGGAUUCACUGAUGAGAAACUCAUACGCCGCCUCGGAAGCUUCUCGCCAGAACCGAGGGACCCUAACACCACCGGAGCGAUCGUACAUAUCCCACAUCUGCCUCACCACUUGCGUUCUCUCUUCAAUUUCCUGUCAUAAAUUCAAAUUAACAAUUGCAAUCAAAAUUCAUAAUUGGUUCAUACGUACCAGGACGUCGAGAUCGUCGCCGACGGAGAACCCGUUAACGCCGUCAACAGAAUGGAACAAACGGUUAACAUAGAAUCAAAUGCCAAGAGUAGAACUGCGGCAAGAACCCAAAGCACGUUUGCGAUCACGGCUGAGAGUGAGACAACCUCCUCCAUUAACAGGUUUUCUAAACGGGUAAGAGUGUUUGCGGUUCUUCAAACGCUCUUAUAUUUUCCUCAGCUGAUCUCCGAAAUGAAAAACUCUGUUUAUGGGACCCUUGAAUUGAUGAUAAAAAGGAACACAACAAUAGUACAAGACCAAGAGGUUCUUCACAGCUCAGGAGAGAUCAGAAGAAGUUACUUAUGUCAGCACAGACAAUAUCAGUGUGAAGUUUGAGAUUUUUUUGACAAAAUUGAGCUAGUCUUGUCUGGAACUCUUGAGAUGUCAGAUAGUAAUGGGUUUAUUGGGGGAAUCAAACAAUCGAUGGAAGAUGAAUUGCGAGGCUGAGAUCACCACUGCAGGUCAAGACUUAUCGUCUCCAUUGCCAACAAUUGAGGUCUAUGUUACUGGUUGCUUCUCAGAACUUAACCAAGACUCUGCAACUUAGUUUGAGAAAGAAGCAGAGUAGAAGAUUGUCGUUGGAUUUAAUUCCUGAGUAUGAAACUGCGGAGUGCAGAGCCUCAUUAAGACACCUCCUGUGCACUUGAUCUUCAGGCAACAGAGUAUCCGAAUUACAAGAGAGAUACGAAGGAGACAUGUAUUGGAGAAGUGAGUGUAAUGGUGAGUCAGUGAGAUGUCAUGGUUUAAUAUUAGCAGGUGUAAGGGUUGGUGUUGGUCUUGGGAUUGGUGUGUGGUCUUCUAGUUCGUACUUAUCAAUCAACUACCAGAAACUUCAGUAGAAGGCUUCUCUAGCUAGUUUGGUAAUGUAUACAUUAGCACAUUUUUUUACCUCGAAAUUUGAAAGAAUCCUCUUUUUAAAAACCACUUCAAAUUGGGUGUGAUGUGAAUCAAACACUUUGGGUGCGAUGUGAAUCAAACACUUUGGGUGUGGAUAUGUUGGUUUUUUUUGUUUGCUGUAAAUAAAACGAGUGAGUUUUUUUUGUAUAUUGAUUAUUGAGUGACAGACUCAUUCAUCA
Camelina sativa (false flax) is the source of this 1391-nucleotide non-coding RNA. NCBI's taxonomy places the organism in Eukaryota, Viridiplantae, Streptophyta, Magnoliopsida, Brassicales, Brassicaceae. The record is from RefSeq and is a predicted model, not a curated record.